RNAcentral lists this long non-coding RNA (1009 nucleotides) under Mus spicilegus (steppe mouse). RNAcentral describes it as "lncRNA (ENSMSIG00000002144.1)". The record is from RNAcentral. Lineage: Eukaryota; Metazoa; Chordata; Mammalia; Rodentia; Muridae.
GACUCUGUUUGCCGGCGGCCCUGGGGCUGCUCCGGCGGGGGCGGGGGCGAGAGCCAGCGAUCACACGCCCCCUUCCCUAGUGCUUCCUGGGCAAACCCGCACGACGGGGGCGGGGUGGGCUGGGAGGGGGACGCACUACAAAACCGAGGGCUCCAAACAGCAAGGGGGCACAAGGGAAGGCGAGGAUCAAGGGCCUAAUCCGCAUCUCGUUUUGGGUACUCCCAUUUGGAUGACCCAACUCUCAGACCACCCAGGGUCCCGGGGAGCACAGUAGGGUGCGGCUGCCAAACCUUCAUUCCCCCCACUUUUCUGGAGACUAGGGGAGCAAGUCUUUCCAGAUGAGUCACUACAAACCCCCCAAAAUCUAAUGGUACCUCCUUGCAACCCAUGGCACCAACCCAACUCUGCGCACCCCUUACGAUUCCCCAGGGAGGAAAAAAAAGGAAAUUUUGCUUGCUUUUUCCGGUGCGCCCCAGCACUUGUGACAGGUCCCCUAUUUUAAAAACGGGGUCCCUCACUUUCGGUCCAACCUAUUCAUAAACAAAGCCAGGCGCACCUCGCUCUCCCCGCCGGAAAACAGCCCAUUCCGGGCGAGGACAACUUCCCCCAGUAAGAAAAUUAACACAUUCCUCUCGCGGCGGUUCAGCCCUGGCUCCAGGGAUGCGAAAGGGAGGGGGUUCGGGCGGGACUUCGAGGGUAAAUUCGGGGCCAGAGCAGCGUGGCACGAGCCUGGGAUGCCCGCCCCCUGCAGACCUGCAGCUGAGGAACAAACACCCCCCCCCCCCGCGUCCCCGGCUUUCACGCAGCUAGGCACACGCGGAGAGGCAGUCCGAGACUCCCCAAGGCCGAAAAGGACAGAAGAGAGGCCGCCUAGCCGGCGGAGGUGGAGUGAUCUGCGACCGAGCAUACUGCGGCUUGGGAAGGCUUCGGUAUAGGAGCGGCCACCGAGCGAUCACCGGAGCUAGGUCUCCCAGGCCCCGCGACUCAGGCUGCGGGCGUCCCCCGCCCC